Molecule: long non-coding RNA, 10142 nt
Filed under: Cucumis sativus (cucumber)
Lineage: Eukaryota; Viridiplantae; Streptophyta; Magnoliopsida; Cucurbitales; Cucurbitaceae
Description: long non-coding RNA (CSAT_LNC000464)
Source: RNAcentral
GUCCUAACCUAUGAAGCAGUUGUGUGCGUCACAGAAAUAGGUGACUUUAAAAGAGUGAAGAAACUCUUAUCUUUCAAUGUCGGUUAUUUGGAUGAGAAGGAUGUAUUUUGGAUUGUAAUUGUUGAUACUAAAGCGUCUUGUGUGCAAGACGUGGCAAAGUUUGCUGUGGCAAAGCAUAAUGAAGACGAACAUGAUAGUCUUGUCUACCUUUCUAUCACUAAAGGUUGGUAUCGAGAACUUGACCCGUAUAAUGCUAUAUUCUUCGAAAUUCAUCUUACGACGAAGGAUUGUUUUGGACGAGUGCGUGAGUUUAAGGCUUUGGUUCUAGAAGACAAACCUCAAAAGGAGAAAAUCCGAACACUCAAAUAUUUCGAAGUUAUAAAGAAAUGUUGAAAACUUGCUAUCUAUAUGUAAGUGAGAGUGGUUAUGUUAUGUGUUAUGUCUAUGUUCUUGACUAUAUAUCCAUAAAUGAAUAGUCAAGUUUAAACUAAAUAAAACGUUUUAAAUUAUAUGUCACUCUUUAUGCCAAAUUUUAUUAAGGAAGUUGUUUAUAUUAUAACCUAUUAGUUAUUGGGAAUUUAUACGAGAUAUAAAUAAAGUCACUUCAUUAAAAUGAAAAUGUAAUAGAUCGAUGGUAAUAAGAAAUGUGUGGGGUGCCAUUUGAUUGCUUUUAGCAUUGUUUACUUAUGUUCUAUGAUCGUAUUGACACAUGAGGUCACUUCCAACUUAUAAUCAACAAAUGCAAAUUGAUUCACAAAUUAAAGGCAUUCAGUUCAAUUGCACCUAGUAAUUAAGUUGUAUAUUUGUUACUGUGUUUCGGUUACAACUACCAUUAUUGUUAUUGUUUCAGCUGAAAAAUUAUCAAUUUGACAUUUUAAUAUUGUCGUUAUUGUAAUCGCUUUGGAAACCUUAUCCUUUGAAUUCCUAAGUCGUAUAAGAAGUUAAGUAGAGGUUGUUGUUGAUGUGUUGUGUUGUUAACGUAGCUUAAUUGAAGGAUUAAAGGCUUGUUUGAAAUUCAACUAAGUGUUUGGGAGCUAGGGUAACCAACUUAGGUGUUAUGAGAACCUUCAAGAGUAUGAUGACCAAUAGUAGUUUAAGUGGCCAAGUAGAAGAGCCCUGGUGUGAAACUCCGAUCUGCAAAACAACAAGAAUGCAGGAAGUAGUGUAGAUAGGACACAAUUUAGCUUAAAACCUUGCAAUUGAUCUUAUCACCUAACUCAAACUCAACCCCUUUUAAACUACCAAGUGAAAAACAUAACGUAAUGGAAGUCAACAUAAACGUCAAGUACAAUAAUUAACAUAACCAAAACUUACGCUUAUUUAGAAUGAUUUUGACCACAUGGUUAUAUUGGUACAAUAUGUAGUUUAUUGAAAAUGGACUUGAAGGAGAUGCUGAUUCUGGCGGUGAAGAAGAUGAACCGGAGGACACUGAUGGUGUGAAAGUGGAACAUCUCUACACAUUUCAGAUUAUCAAGGUUUUGCACUAAUAACCGAUUGAUUUACUAUAGUGAUGAAGCUACCAAGCAAGUGAUUGAUGUUUGAUUCGUGACAAGACUUGUUGCAAUUUAGUUAUCUAUGACAAUACAUUGCAUUUAGUUUCUUUGUAAAAAUAUAUUACCAAUGUUUAGUUUCUAUUUCACUUGUAUUUAUCCCUUUGGGAAAAUUCGAUAGAUUUAGUGUACUUAGUUUUUUUGUAAAUAUGUUAUCUAUGUUAUUUUUAUAUAUGAAAGUUCUUAUUUAUAUGUGUACUAGUUUUGUGUUAAAAUGGAAUCAUUGGAUAACAGGAAAAAAAUCUAAUUGAAUUACAAUUUUUUUUAUAAAAAAAAUUCAUAACAUAUUUGACGGUUAUAAAAUGUCAUAAACAAGUCCAUCCUUGACGGUUUUUCAAUGUCAUAAACAAUCAAUUUCUUGACGGUUAUUAAAUGUCAUGAAUACUUAUACUCUUGACGAUUUUAAGUUGUCAUAAACAUUCACACUCUUGACGGUUUUUACCUGUCAUGAACAUUUGUAUACUUGACAUUUAUAAAACGUCAACGUUCAAUAUUCUUGACGUUUUUAUCAACCGAUAAGAACUUUGGCUUUCUUGACACUGGCUUCAAGGACGGUUAUAUUAAUUUGAUUCAUGAUAAAAUUAUUGGUUAUGAGAGAAAUUUGUAUUUGAAUAUGAUUCAAAUUUAACUUAUCUUAAAUAUAAGAUAUUUAAUUUAGUUGUUAAUUAAUUAGAGAAUUAGUUAAUAGUUUAUUUUAAUAUUAUUUAAUUAAAUUAAUAUAAAACUAUAAGAUAUUAUUGAAAGAUAUUCAUUAAAUAAGAUUUAAAUAAAAUAUUAAUUAAAUAUGAUUUAAUUAAUUAUUAACUAAUUGAUUACUUGUUAAUUAAUUAGUUGAUUUGAAAUUUAUGCUAAUUUAAUAUUUUUUAAAUUAAUAGAAUCUCAUGAUUCUCUUCGACUCUCUUUCCUUAGAUACAAUUUUCUUUAACAAUUCAAUCAACCAAAAUAAAACUAAUAAUUUUGUUUUUCCACAAAAGAGUUUCUCUAAAAAAAUCUCCAAACUUUUUUCCAUCCGAAUUGGUUCCCCACAAACCAAUCUCAUCUCAAAAAAUACGGAGGUGUCCGAAACCAAUCUCAUCUCAAAAAAUAGGGAGGUGUCCGAUGGGUGAUGUCCCAAUUUUGUGAUUUAUUUUGUAGAUUCAGAGAUGUUAACACAAGUAAGUUUUUCUUUCUCUAAUCUAUAAUUAGAAAACAUGCUUAGCCGUUAAGUCUUAAUAAGAAAAUUUGUUUUUAUUGUAUUUUGUCAUUCUACUAGUAUUUUGGGAUUUCCAAAUUAAAUUGAGAAAUGAUUCUAAAAUCUUUCACUGCCAAUGACUUUUAUCCCUUCAACGAUGGCCUGAGAAACAAUCUCUAAAUUUUCUGUCUUUCAUCCUACCCAGCAAGCAUCAAGAUGCUCAUGCCUUUGUUCUGGGCCUAAUCUUUGUUUUCCAUCUCCCCGAAGAUUACUCAACUUAGUAAGAAAAUAGGAUAGAAGAUACAGCUAUUACAUUCUUCCGCUCUUUGCUUACUUUGCUUGCUUAGCUUUUCUUAGAUCACAAAUGAGGAUCAUGCCUCUUAUUUAUAGGCAUAAAAUCCUUGGAGCCUAAUGUGUCACACUUCAUCCCGAACAUAUCCUAACAAAGCGAUACACAGUGUGACUUGAGUAUUCAUGACUUGUUUAAACAAAAGAAACCUCAACCUAGGUUCUUAAGCUUAGCUCAAAUGCCUGAUCACUGAGCACUUACACUUAUUUUCACAUUUGUAAGUGAUAUUAUAACAUUAUAACACAACGAAUAAGAGAUAAAAAAACAACUCCAUUUCAUUAACUUUCAAUUAUGUGAUCUACAUUACACUUUACAUACAUUGAAGCACAUGUAUAAAACUUAAUUUAAAUGCUCUAGGAUAGCCUUCUGGCCUAGUUAGCCUCUUAAGCCCUUCUUACUCUAAGAUGAACGCCUAAUCACCUGGGAAGUGGAAAAUCUUAAAACAUAAGUCAAAAGACUUAGUGAAUGAAGUUUUAAAAAAACCUUUUCGAAACAUGUUACAUAAAUCAUAACUAUUUCAAUCGUAUAAUACAUAAUACACAUUAGUCUUGUGUCUCUUUCGUCGGAAACAUGAACCAUUCCCUAAGUUAAGACCCAGCAUCUUAAUUCAUUCAUCAUUGCUCAGGUCGCCUAACACAAUACACAUCUUUUAUACAUUGGCUAGCUUCACUCUAUCCGUAGUCCCUUUUUACAUCACUGCAUUACUUCUUAUGUGCACAUAGUUAGCUCUUUGAUAGGAUUAAAACUAAUGCUUUGAAAAUAUUCUUUCACAUUCGUUGAAACACAAAACAUUGCUUUUAAAACAUAAGCUUUCAUUUAAAUUUAUUUAUAAGUACUCAUUACAAACAUGAAUUCAAAAGAAAGCUUUAAGUUUACAAACAUUUACAAAUAUCACUCACUCACAAAAUUCAGUUGCCUUAAAUCCAGAUUGCUUCUACACUUCUUCUUCUUGCGUAGUCCUUCAACAACAACUUCAACACUUAGUUUUUCUUUUUCAAACUUUUAGAAUAACUUCCUUCUUCUAAUUCCUUCCUCUAUUUAUAAUAAUCCUAAUUUCGAUUAGUCAUCCUUAAGGUUCCUAAAAUAUGGCCAGCUUCUACUUGCUUAAAGUAUUAUACGUGUAAGCUUAGUAUUUCACUCAAUCUUACUUAACUUCAGCUUAACACGUAACCCUUGUCAAAUCAAAUUGAUAUUUUCUCGCUUGCCUUUUCUCGCAAAGAACUCUACUCGCCUAACUGCCUUUUAAUCGCCAAAGUCCUUAUCAUGUUGCCUUCAUUACGGAAUAAGACUUAAACACCUAAACGUCAGUUUUCAAAAUAUAAACUUCUUCAAAAUGCCUUCUCUCAAUAUUUAGUAAAAAAUUUGACACUUCAAAUAUAAACUUGGGUCUCACACAAUGUAAAGCCAUGAUCCAAAGAAAAGGGGUUGUGUUAAAGAGGAGUUAUGUUAAAAAGAGACAUUUUGGCUAAGCGUAAAUAAUAAGCAAUCUGUGAUCAAGGAUGCCUUCAAGGAAAGGUGAUGCAAGGAGAGAUGCUUACAGUCACUGUUGCGUCGAAGCGAGGUGACGCGAUAUGAUUAGCUGGCGAGGAAGAAGCAUGCAUUUAAUGCAAAGAACUAGACAACAACACGGGAAUAAGUACCUAUGCCUAAAGUGUUGAUGCAAUGAAUUAAGUGUUUCAUUGAAAGGAUGGAUGUUCGUAUGAGGCGACUAGACGACUAUCUGAGGGAAAGUAAAUGUUCUAUUAUUUUUCAAGAAGGGAGUCAGAUGAAAAAGAAUUGAGCAUUCCAAAAAGAUAAGGUUAGCGUUUCAAGAGAAAUAUCUAAUUGCGAGUAACAAUUGGCAACGUGUUGAAAUUAUGUUGGUUGUAUAGCUUGAUGAGUUAUAGCUUGACACAUGUAAAGCGUGGAAAUGACCCAUGAGUUUGAAAGGUCGCUAUAAAUAGGACCAAAGAGGUCGGAAGAAAGAGGGGCAUAAGAUGCUAAACAUUAUGAUUAAUUGUUAAGAGAAAGUGUCGAGUGUUGAAAGGUCGAUUAAGGGAAUCACUAGGCAAGACGAGAAAGCCAAAAGUAAGAAAAGGAAAGAGUUUAGGCUAAGUAUUUCUGUGAGUGAUCCUUUUAAAUGAAAGAAAUAUUUUGUGAAUGAUUGCUCUUUUUAAUCUUAUGUUUGACGAUUAACAUUUGAUAAUGAUACUAAUGUGAUGUGAUGUGUUGUAUGUAAUGCUUUUGAGAUAAUGCUUCUUAUCUUAUUGGCUGUAAUGAUUGAAUGAUGUAUUGGUGGAAGUGAAUCCCAGGUCUAGGGCAAAUAAAUGUUGAUGAAAGUGAAUCCCAAGUCUGAGCGAGAAAUGAAUUUUGUUCUUCAUAGUUGGGUGCUGGUGAAAGUGAAUCGUAGAUCUAGGUGAGGUUGUAUCAUGAGACACUGGUGGAAGUGAAUUCCAGGUCUAGGGGAUGGUCUCAGGUUUGAGUGUAGAACGAUCAUUGUGAGACACUGGUAGAAAUUUCAAGUUUAUCACGAGACACUAGUGAAGUGAAUCCCAGGUUCAGGGGAUUGGAUGUGGAUUGAAGAAUCUCAGGUCCCGAUGAUAAAUGAUGAACAUGCUGAUGAAUGAAAUGUAUGGAAUUGCGUUCUUAAGAAUAAGAUUGUUAUUAUUGAAAAUGUUGUUUUCCCUAAAAAUGUAUUUUCUCUAAACUCAUCACUCACUAACUUUGUUACUUAUAUUUUAAGUUUUUCUUCCCCAGGUUGUCAGGCGUUGAAGCUAAGUAAAGAAUGGAUGUCAGGUGUAGAAGCCAAGUAAAGGAGGAAAGGUGGGAUGUUAUGUAAACUUGCACGGUGAGAAAGGUGGUCCUCUGUGUACAUGAAUCUUCGAUUAUUGUUUUCGUUUCACAAAUAUUCUUAGAAAGUAAUAUCGGUAUCAUUUUUCAUCCUUGUUUCUUGAAUUUAUUCUUUUAAGUUCCAAUACAAAGAUAUAUUGCCCCAAAAAAAAGGUAUAUAAAAGAUGAUGAAAUGUGAAUUACCUUUUUUUUAUCUUUAUUAUAAAGAAUUUGGUGGAUCUUUGAUUCAUAGGUAACGUCUCCAAACUACUUUACAAGUUAUGAAGAUCCUCCAUUUAUACUCCUGAUUUCAGAAUGCUCCCACUUGUAAAGUAGUUUGGAUACCUUCUGUGGAAAGCUUUUUAUGCUAUUGUCUAGGGUCUUUAGGGAGAAAAACAAUAGAAUUUUCAAAGGAGCCGAGAGACCUUUGUGUGAGGUGUGGUGUCUUGUGAGAUAUCAUGCCUUUUUUUUUUUGUGUUUUCGUUUAUAAGGAAAUUAUCUUGUAAAUACCUUACCACCACCACCUUCUUGAUUUAAGAUAUUUGCAUUGGUACAUACAUAUGUAACAGAGAAAAACAAUUGCAAUAAGUGAUCGUGGUUCUUAUUUUAAUUACACUUUUUCUUACUUUUAUAUUUUUAAAGACAAAAGAAAAGAAUAAAUGGAAUUUGUUGUUGCAUACUUGUUUUGUACCUUCUUUAAUUUUUUUUUUCUCCUUUUCAACUGUUGUCUUUAUCUUGAGUACUAAGAUAGAAAUAUGAAAUCGUGCUUCAAUUUAGAAGUACUUGAGCCUGUAUUAAUAGCAAAUUGUGGUGCAGCUGACCGUUGUUUUCAUGGUAAUGGUAAUUUCUAUGCAAGAGUUGUACACCAUUUUCUCAUUAGUAAAUGCUCAUGUUGUUAGAUUGUUAGAUUCUUUGUUAGGAAUUUGGAGUAAGGUAAAUGGCCCUAUUUAUUCUCUUUCUAUUGGGUUAAUGAUUCUUCACAUGAUUGAAUGGGUGACCUCUGGUUUGAUUAAUCUUCAUUCUUUUGAGAAAUUAGAUGUUGUUAGCCAUGCGACUUUAACGUCUUCAUAGGAAAGUUAUGCUUCAUUUUUGUUGUUGUAAUGUCUGCAGCUAGAAUAUUGAGGUCUUUUAAUACUUACAAAGGUUUAUUAAGUAUUUUUAACUACGUUUCUUUGAAACUUACCAACUAGUGUAACUAUGUUUUUUAAGCUUGUGGUCAUAUGUCGAUUUCUUAAUGUCAAUGAUAUUUUGUUGUUAUCCAAGAAGAGAACUCAAACCUUUUAUUUGAUAAUUUUGUUUGGUUUCUAGCAUUUUGUACUACUUUGCUAUUUAGUUAAUGGUUGAGAUUUUUUUAUACGCUAAAGUAAUUGUUUCACCAUGUGCUAACAACUUUUUUCUCAACGACAUUCCUUUAUGAAGUUUCCCUCCGUAAGAUGCAUGAAAAGUCCAAGAGUGAGGUAUUGUUUAGCUUGCCUAGUUUCACUUAUUGAGCAGGUAACAAGUUUUUUUUUUUUUUUAUGCCUUGACGAUUUUGAAUUAUUUUGCAUUGAAAUAAUUUUUUUUUCUAUUAACAUUUAUUUAGUUCAUCGUUGGAGAUGAUGAAUUUUCUUAUUGUCCCAAUCUUUUGGUCUCUUUUAUGUCCAAAAAUGAUCUUUUAUUCUCUUUCGACAUCUGUUUAAACUUACUUUCUAGUUUAUUCCUCUCUGAUGAUUUUCAUUUGUUGUUUGCUCCUUUUUUAUAGACAAGAUAUCUUCAUUUCCGAAACUGACCUGUCGAAUGGGGGUGGUGCCAGGAUCUCCAGUUUUUUAUAUUUGUAUUUGAGAGACAUAAAAUGUGAAUUUAGUAUCAUUUGCUUUUUUGUGAAUUGAUUAAUGAGAUAUUGAUGGUGUUGCAUUUGAGUGCACAAUUUACUAACUUGCUCCUUUGUCCACUAGCUCUUGGGUCAACCCAUAUAUUUUGUGUGUGCCAUUUUCACUGUUUUUUAUUAAUGGCUGAAAUUUCAUACUUUUUGCUUUUAGUGUACUUGUAAAUUGUUUCAAACUUGAUUGAAAAUGUUAUAAUUAAAGUUAUGGUUGUUGUUCUCUUUUGUUGUUUGUCAUUUCACUGUAUCUUAAUUAGCUUUAAAUAGAACACUCUUUAGUCAUACUCUAAAAUGAUAUUUUUUUUUCUUACUAGGUUUGGAAGAAUCCAUUGGAGCAGUGAAGCCAACAAGGAGAAAUGGAUUGAUAUAGGAUUUUUUAUAUGGUUGGUAGAAAAAUAUUGGUUCUAAUGUAUUGAUUUUAGGCUUGUUGGUAGCUAAAGAUGUCAAUGUUAUUUUUUUGUAUGUAAACUACCUUUUAACAAAAAAAAUGGUUAUUAGUCAAUGGGUGUACGAAUAUUACAAAGUGUAUUACAACAUUUAUAUAUAUUAAAGUGUCGACUUUUUGUUUCCUAUAUGGGUGUGAUGUAUUAAAACAUUAUUGUCAUUGAAAUGGUUAAUGUAAUGACAGAGCGGCAAGAAGAACAGAAAAAAAAAUUAGUAAUUAAGGAAUAUACGACAGGAAAAAAUGUCAUAAUAUACGAAUUUGUGACAUUUUCUAAUUGUUGUCAAUAUUAAAACAACGACAAUUUAAUUUUAUAAAAAACUGUCACGAUUGACCUAUCUUUGACAGAGAAAAAUGUCAUAAUAUACGAAUUCAUGACAUUUUGUAACUGUUGUCAAUAGCAAAACAAUUACAUUUGCUUUUAUAAAAAAAAAUUGUCACGAUUGGCAUAUCCUUGCAGAUAAAAAAUGUCAUAAUAAAUGAAUUUACGACAUUUUUUUAAUUGUUGUUAAUAUGCAAAUGAUGACAAUUAUUUAUUGUCAUAAAAUAAAAUAUGACAAUUAUUUGUUGUCAUAAAAUAAUAAUCAAUGAUAUUUAUUUUAUGUCAUGAAAAAACUUAUUGUGACAAUUUUUGAAUACUAUCAUGGAAUGACUUUCCACAACAGGCGAUACUAUGACUGUAAGUAACUGUCACGAAUUUUGUUUGCGACAGAAAAUAACUGUCAUCAUAGACCAUUUUUGUUGUAGUGGAUCGUGUCAUCCUGUUUCUUAUUUAAGGAGUUUGUAUGCCAAUUCGUAUACUCCCAAUUGUCGAGGACUGCAUCUCAAUUCUGAAGAGAAGUCGAGUGCAACAUCAUAGUUUUAAAGAAAUACCAAGGACAACAACUUACUUUUGUGUGGUCCAAGACGAUGAGUGGAAGAGCUGAGCCAAAGAUGAAGAGCCUAGAGCUAUCGUUUUAAGUCUUGUGAUUUUAAAAGUUUAAAUUCCAGUUGUACUUUGUUUAAUGAAUUGAGUUAAUAAAGAGAAGAAGUUGUGUCAUUCUGGUGCAUUAUUAUUUGUGCUUAUCAACUAAUAGUUAAAAGCUAUGUUCCAUUAAGUUAUUGGAGGCUAGACGAUAGUGCUAGCUGGUCUAAAAGUUAUCUUUUCACAGUUGCGAUAAGCUUUGAGUGUUUCUAAAGUUCAAAAUAAAAGUUUUUUGAUGAGACAAGUUUAGGAAGUUGUUCCACUCACUAGAUGUUCGAUAUGUCAUCUUGCGACGAGAUACACGAUGAGUGUCUAGGCCGGACGUCCCCAUCUAGUUUCAUGGAGUGGCAUUUAGGGCGAUGUUGAAGCCAAAGAUUUCUCUAAAAUUCUAACUAGUUUAGAUAUAUUUAAUCUCAUCGUAAUUAUCUUAAGGAAUUCAUUCAUUAACCUAAAAAGUUUAGAAUGUUUCUAUAUUUUUUCUUAGAUAUUUAUUUACAUCUUUUAACGUAAUUAUAGAGAGAUCUAAUAAUUUACAUACUAAUUAUAUAUUAUGGAUACUUGGAUACUGUUCUAGAAUAGUUAGUGUUGCUAUAUAGUGUAGUAUUAUUUACUUUAUUUUUUGAGUUUAAUGACAUUGUUGUCCUUGUUCUUAAUUAUUUUUUAUUUCCAUGGUUUUGGAAAUCAUUUGGAAUCUAGAAGUUGAUUAUUUUUCUGAUGCCUAAUAUAAUAUAUGCUAUUCUAAAAAAUUGUGAUUGCUUUUAUUGUUAAACAUAUACAACUCUAGCAUGCUAGAUUCUUUGGUCAAAAGGAGAACACUUGAAUACUUUGAUCAAAUUGAGAGAACUUCGCUGAGUAAUGGGUCAAGUGGAAUAUAUAAAAUUUGUAUCCCCAAGACAUGUAUUAGUUUAGGGUUUUACAAACAAAAACAACAAACUCUUAACCAAAGUUAACUAAUUUAGUUAGAUUUUAAGCUAUAUAACAAACCACUAACAAUAAU